UACAGAGGUCUCAAGCGUUGUUCGGAUUCAUUGGGCGUAAAGGGUGCGUAGGCGGCGCGGUAAGUCGGGUGUGAAAUCUUGGAGCUUAACUCCGAAACUGCAUUCGAUACUGCCGUGCUUGAGGACUGGAGAGGAGACUGGAAUUUACGGUGUAGCGGUGAAAUGCGUAGAUAUCGUAAGGAACACCUGUGGCGAAAGCGACUCACUGGACCACAACUGACGCUGAGGCGCGAAAGCUAGGGGAGCAAACAGG
This 253-nucleotide ribosomal RNA is filed under the name uncultured bacterium. RNAcentral describes it as "partial 16S ribosomal RNA". It matches the Rfam family "Bacterial small subunit ribosomal RNA", at positions 524 to 776 of the family's 1533-position model. The record is from RNAcentral.